This 212-nucleotide long non-coding RNA is filed under the name Elaeis guineensis (African oil palm). RNAcentral describes it as "long non-coding RNA (EGUI_LNC072539)". Lineage: Eukaryota; Viridiplantae; Streptophyta; Magnoliopsida; Arecales; Arecaceae. The record is from RNAcentral.
CUCUCAAUCUAAUUUGUUUGCUAUGCAUCCAUAGAUAGAGACCCCCUCUAUUUAUAGAUGAUUUUCAUGACCCAAUGAGAGUAGGACUCUCAACUCAAAUCUGAUUUGAAUUAGUUUAAUACUCAUGAAAGAAGGUUCCUACAUGAGAUAGAAUUGCCAUCAUAUAUAACAAUCAACUUGCACGCACUCCCUUACCCACAAGGGAUGCCCCA